GAUGAACGCUGGCGGCGUGCCUAAUACAUGCAAGUCGAACGGACGGACGAGAAGCUUGCUUCUCUGAUGUUAGCGGCGGACGGGUGAGUAACACGUGGAUAACCUACCUAUAAGACUGGUAUAACUUCGGGAAACCGGAUCUAAUCCCGGAUAAUAUUUUGAACCACAUGGUUCAAAAGUGAAAGACGGUCUUGCUGUCACGUCUAGCUGGAUCUGCGCUGCAUUAGCUAGUUGGUAAGGUAACGGCUUACCAAGGCAACGAUGCAUAGCCGACCUGAGAGGGUGAUCGGCCACACUGGAACUGAAACACGGACCAGACUCCUAAGGGAGGGAGCAGAAGGGAAUCUUACGCAAUGGGCGAAAGCCUGACGGAGCAACGCCGCGUGAGUGAUGAAGACGUUCGGAGCGGAAAACUGUGUUAUUAGGGAAGAACAUAUGUGUAAGUAACUGUGCAGAUCGUGACGGUACCUAAUCAGAAAGCCACGGCUAACUACGUG
This 497-nucleotide ribosomal RNA is filed under the name uncultured bacterium. RNAcentral's name for it is "partial 16S ribosomal RNA". It matches the Rfam family "Bacterial small subunit ribosomal RNA", at positions 28 to 507 of the family's 1533-position model. The record is from RNAcentral.